Molecule: ribosomal RNA, 445 nt
Filed under: uncultured organism
Description: partial 16S ribosomal RNA
Rfam family: Bacterial small subunit ribosomal RNA
Source: RNAcentral
ACUCCUACGGGAGGCAGCAGUGGGGAAUAUUGGACAAUGGGCGCAAGCCUGAUCCAGCCAUGCCGCGUGAGUGAUGAAGGCCCUAGGGUUGUAAAGCUCUUUCACCGGUGAAGAUAAUGACGGUAACCGGAGAAGAAGCCCCGGCUAACUUCGUGCCAGCAGCCGCGGUAAUACGAAGGGGGCUAGCGUUGUUCGGAUUUACUGGGCGUAAAGCGCACGUAGGCGGACUAUUAAGUCAGGGGUGAAAUCCCGGGGCUCAACCCCGGAACUGCCUUUGAUACUGGUAGUCUUGAGUGCGAGAGAGGUGAGUGGAAUUCCGAGUGUAGAGGUGAAAUUCGUAGAUAUUCGGAGGAACACCAGUGGCGAAGGCGGCUCACUGGCUCGAUACUGACGCUGAGGUGCGAAAGCGUGGGGAGCAAACAGGAUUAGAUACCCGAGUAGUCCC